GAUAUUAAACUUUGUACUUUCACGCAUCAUUUAAUGAGCGGUAUUCACUAUUUGGUAGUGCGAAGAAUAUCGUUUGGUAUACAUUGCACUACGAAAUAGUGAAUAGUCACUAUUUCAAUUUCAGAGAAUGAAAAGCUGUGCCCUGUAGAGGAUC
Long non-coding RNA from Cotesia glomerata, 154 nucleotides. RefSeq lists it as uncharacterized. The record is from RefSeq and is a predicted model, not a curated record. The transcript has 3 exons. NCBI's taxonomy places the organism in Eukaryota, Metazoa, Arthropoda, Insecta, Hymenoptera, Braconidae.